UACAGCCACACCAUGUUGAAACACCGAUUCGCGUACGAUCACCGAAGUUAAGCAUAUUCGAGCCUAAUCAGUACCUAAAUGGGUGACCAGGUG
Acanthosepion pharaonis is the source of this 93-nucleotide non-coding RNA. The record is from the annotation of a GenBank genome assembly. Lineage: Eukaryota; Metazoa; Mollusca; Cephalopoda; Sepiida; Sepiidae.